This 2681-nucleotide long non-coding RNA is filed under the name Eucalyptus grandis. RNAcentral describes it as "long non-coding RNA (EGRA_LNC002840)". The record is from RNAcentral. Lineage: Eukaryota; Viridiplantae; Streptophyta; Magnoliopsida; Myrtales; Myrtaceae.
GCCAACCAAGAUAAGGAUAAAGAAAAAGGAGGGAGACAAGCAAUUAAGGGAAUGGCUUAGGUUUGUUGAUUUUGGGUCCCUCCCGUCGCUGUCUUCAUCAUCACCGCUUCUGCCUUCUCCUCCGUUCCUAUCCAUAUUCGUGAACUCUCUCUCUCUCUCAUCGAGGAAGCCUACGAAUUCCACCAAAGUGUUUCUCCAUUUUCGUUCAUCCCUCUGCCACACGAACAGUCCAUUUCAACAAAAAGAAUUGACUGGCUUCGACGCCAAGAUCCCACCGAAGCCCUCAACUCCACGCGUCCAUCUUCCACUUCGCUGUACCAGUCGGCAAUCGAGUUGAAGAUGCCGAGGCAGCAACCGAAGCUGCCCCAUCUCACACACCACCGAAGCAAGGAAAUCUGCAGAAGCAAGAACGGCCGCACGUCUCCACCAUCGAAGACCUUCGCUUCAGCCAGCGCCUCCACGCGUCCUCAACCAGAGCUCCUUCGGUCAACCGCAGCAAGCCCACCGAAAAUCAGUGGUUGACUGAGCAGCUUUGUUCAGCUGCCACUUGGCUGUGAGGCCUUCGGUCGGUGCCUCCCUCACACGCCCACCGAGCUGAGCUCCUAUCUGCUGGGCCGAAGUUGUCUCAACUGAAGUCACCAAUUCCCCAGCAGCAACUCCACGUCGACGCUGCAGCCCCACUUCGGCUUGUCUUCAACAGAGUCAACGGAACUAGCAGCUUCUUCUCUUCUGUUGACUGAAGCUGCCAGCAGAUGCCCCUUCUCCACUGAGGUUGGUCGGCCACAGAAGCCAGCAAGCUGUCCGAGAAUUUUCUCCAUCGUCAACCGAAGCCGUAGCACCUUCCAGUGAAGACCGAAGCAGCCCACUUCGCAGCCCAAAUGAUCAGUAUUUUGGUCCAUCAAGCAGCCUGCAGUUUGACAUCUUGAGGCCCAGCAAUUUCCUUGUGAACUCAGCCCAUCAUCAAUUAGAAUUGAAGCCCAGCAAAAUUUGGCCCAAGCUUCAGCCCAAGUUGUUUGAAAGGCAGGCCCAAUUCAGCUUUGCUUCAAGCCCAAGUUCAGGCUCAGUCCAAGGAUUCCAGCAGGCCUAAGCCCAGAAAUUUCUGCAGGCUUGUGAGGCUUUUGAGCUCGGCCCGAGUGUCCGCCGACGCCGCCGAAAGUUUGGAAUUCGGCCACCGUCGCGGUGUCCCGGUCCCCGUUUUUAAUCAAGUGAGUUUUACUCACUAAAGCUUGCUAAUUAUGCUUAGGGUUGGUUAGAUUUAAUUAAGUGCAAUUAGGUGGUUAGAUUAGGUUAGAACAAUUAAUUUAGUGACUUAAUGAUGCACGUUAGGUGGUUAGACCUAGCUAUUAGCAAGUAGAAAUGUUUGGUUAUUUAUUGAAUGUAUCUCGGGAUUUUUCCCGACCCGUUUCGGGCUCCAAUAAGGCAAUAUGGGCCUAAAUUGGAUUUUUAUUAUUUAUUUAUUUAAUUUUCUAAAUUAAUUAUUUAAUUAAUUAUUUUUUUCCGGAAAUUCAAUCGGGAUGGCCGAUGACCAGAAUUUCGUGCUGAUUGUCGUGGUGUAGCCCAUUUAUUUAUUUGAGCUCUACGUUGUGUGGAAUUGAAUUAAUUGUGAAAUUUGAGAAUUUAUCCUUAAUUGUUUGUUAUUGAAUAUUUGAUUGGUAAUGGCCAAGCAUGGGUAUAUAGCGCUAGUACGUUGAUGGGCUAUAUAGUAGGGAGAAUGGUGAGAGCUAACUGAGAACAUUAUUGGUUGAGACCAAUCAGGUAUGAUAUUAUUGGACAUACGUGGUUCGGUGAUUGGAAGUAUCACUGGCGAAAACGGCGCCUUAAAGAACGCACGUAAAUGACUUAUAGACAAACGUGGUUUGGUGAUUAUGGAAAUAUCACUGGUGAAAACGACGCCUUAAAGAACUCACGAUGUUGUCUAUUGUCGAUGUCACCUUGGCGAAAACGGCGCCCUAGAAAGGACACGUGGUUGGGUGAUCGAGGAUAUCACUGGUGAAAACAGCGCCUUAAAGAAGGCACGGUGUCAGUGAUCGGUAUGUCAUUGGCGAAAACGACGCCCGAGAAACACAUGUGAUUUGAUGAAUAAGUGCACCACUGGGAAAUCGUGGUAUGAGUGGAAAUGACCUAGAGAGGGUCUGAUUGACAUGUAAUCGACUUAGUCGAUUGACUAUCUAUGUUUGAAUAUCUAUGUUUAAAUAUCUAUGCUUAACCUUGAAUUGCAGGUUGGAACUGAGGCCAAGGUAAGUCCUCUGACUCAAGUUGUGCUUAGGCAAUCGUAUGGCGUAUUAGUUUAUUAAUCGAGUCUUAGGGGGUAGGACUCGCUGAGACGUGGUCUCAUUGGUUAUUGAAUAACCAUUUCAGGACCCUGAGGUGAAGCUAAGGAAGAGAAACCUGAAGGGGAGAAAGACUUUUGAAGAAGAAGAAGAUCCAGAGAGGGAUCUCGAAUAUAACCCGGAUGUGGACUGAGAUCCCAUCCCUUUUGUAAACCCUGUCUUAGCAUACAUAGGUGUGAGACUUUUAUGCUGUAAAUAGUAUUGUAAAAAUACUAUAAGUUGUGCUGUUAAUCAAAGUGUGGUUGUGAAUUUCAAUAUGAAAAAUAUGGCCUACUUUCCUAUCCCAUUGUUUUAUUGUCUGAGGAUUUAUAACUGCUUCUGCAUGUGCUUAAUAAAAAGAAAGGGUCGGCG